This is a long non-coding RNA of Canis lupus familiaris (dog), 997 nucleotides long. RefSeq lists it as uncharacterized. The transcript is spliced from 3 exons. The record is from RefSeq and is a predicted model, not a curated record. NCBI's taxonomy places the organism in Eukaryota, Metazoa, Chordata, Mammalia, Carnivora, Canidae.
UUAAAAAAAAUGAUCAUAUCCCCUUCAUAGGAUUUCUUUUUACUUUCAAAAAUACAACUAGAGGCCCUGUGUACCAAUUUGUAUCAACUAUACCAGAAUCAACCUAAAUACAAAACAAAACAAGGAGAUGCAUCAAGCCAUUAUGCAACUAAAAGUUGUUUGUGACAACUAGCCAGGAGUCAGCUGCCCUAACUCUGGGGCUUAGAACAGACUUAAUAGGAGUGAAAGGAACUGGGAGGGUUAAAGACAAGCUUUUACAUCUUUUCUUACCAAAAGAAUAUGAUUCAUUCAUUAGAUUGAUAUAGGUUAGCCAGAAGGUCUGUGUUUUAAAGAUCUAAAAAUAGAUGCCUUGAUGCUCACUCAUAAUCAGCUACUAACUCCCUGUAUGAGUCAAGUGAUGACUAUGACCUAACGAGAUGAGAUCCUAAGUUGUUAUUUACAACAGGAUUGGGGAAAUGGAACAAAUACUGAACAUUUGGAACCUUCUGGGAAAGUCUGUUGUGAAACAGUCUUAAGAGUAUUUCAAUUCUGGGGCGCAUGCCUGGCUCAGUCCCAGGGGCAUGUGACUCUUGAUUUUGGGGUCAUGAGUUUGAGCCGUAUGUUGGGUAUAGAGAUUAGUUAAAAUAAACUUUAAAAAAGUAUUUCAACUCCAAUGUCUCUUUAUAGAACAGAGAGCCUGAGCCACUCAAGGAAAUGUCAAAGAGGAAUAUUAAAUGUGGCAAGACUUUGGGGAGUAGCUCUCAGGGGAUUCACACUAUGAAAAAGCUUACUAGCUCAAUCUAGCUACUGAUAAGAUACUUCUGGCAUGUCAACAAAUAAACUCUCUUGAAUCCAAGCCAAACUGGAAUCUUCUGUUGUCCACAACAUUAGAACAUUGUUUGAUCAGACAACAAAAAGACAUUAAAGGCAUUCAAAUUGGCAAAGAAGAAGUCAAACUCUCCCUCUUCGCCGAUGACAUGAUACUCUACAUAGAAAACCCAAAAGUCUCCACCCCAAG